This 468-nucleotide ribosomal RNA is filed under the name uncultured bacterium. Its description in RNAcentral is "partial 16S ribosomal RNA". It matches the Rfam family "Bacterial small subunit ribosomal RNA", at positions 28 to 507 of the family's 1533-position model. The record is from RNAcentral.
GACGAACGCUGGCGGCGUGCUUAACACAUGCAAGUCGAACGGAAAGGCCCUGCUUUGGUGGGGGGCUCGAGUGGCGAACGGGUGAGUAACACGUGAGUAACCUUCCCUUGACUUUGGGAUAACUUCAGGAAACUGGGGCUAAUACCGGAUAGGAGCUCCUGCUGCAUGGUGGGGGUUGGAAAGUUUCGGCGGUUGGGGAUGGACUCGCGGCUUAUCAGCUUGUUGGUGGGGUAGUGGCUUACCAAGGCUUUGACGGGUAGCCGGCCUGAGAGGGUGACCGGCCACAUUGGGCCUGAGAUACGGCCCAGACUCCUACGGGAGGCAGCAGUGGGGAAUAUUGCACAAUGGGCGGAAGCCUGAUGCAGCAACGCCGCGUGCGGGAUGACGGCCUUCGGGUUGUAAACCGCUUUCGCCUGUGACGAAGCGUGAGUGACGGUAAUGGGUAAAGAAGCACCGGCUAACUACGUG